This 490-nucleotide ribosomal RNA is filed under the name Pseudoalteromonas sp. AmSamHH15. RNAcentral's name for it is "bacterial SSU rRNA". It matches the Rfam family "Bacterial small subunit ribosomal RNA", at positions 79 to 565 of the family's 1533-position model. The record is from RNAcentral. Lineage: Bacteria; Pseudomonadati; Pseudomonadota; Gammaproteobacteria; Alteromonadales; Pseudoalteromonadaceae.
GCUACUCUGCUGACGAGCGGCGGACGGGUGAGUAAUGCUUGGGAAUAUGCCUUAUGGUGGGGGACAACAGUUGGAAACGACUGCUAAUACCGCAUGAUGUCUACGGACCAAAGUGGGGGACCUUCGGGCCUCACGCCAUAAGAUUAGCCCAAGUGGGAUUAGCUAGUUGGUGAGGUAAUGGCUCACCAAGGCGACGAUCCCUAGCUGGUUUGAGAGGAUGAUCAGCCACACUGGGACUGAGACACGGCCCAGACUCCUACGGGAGGCAGCAGUGGGGAAUAUUGCACAAUGGGCGCAAGCCUGAUGCAGCCAUGCCGCGUGUGUGAAGAAGGCCUUCGGGUUGUAAAGCACUUUCAGUAAGGAGGAAAGGUUAAGUGUUAAUAGCACUUAGCUGUGACGUUACUUACAGAAGAAGCACCGGCUAACUCCGUGCCAGCAGCCGCGGUAAUACGGAGGGUGCGAGCGUUAAUCGGAAUUACUGGGCGUAAAG